Molecule: long non-coding RNA, 354 nt
Organism: Peromyscus eremicus (cactus mouse)
Lineage: Eukaryota; Metazoa; Chordata; Mammalia; Rodentia; Cricetidae
Exons: 2
Source: RefSeq, a predicted model, not a curated record
GAUCUUAUAAAAGGCAUGUGCUCUUCAGAGAUGAACAGAAUCUGAAAGACUGUCAACAGAACUCUAGGUGACAAAGAUCCAUAGUGACACCACCAUAACUCCAUCACUCCACAUUAACACCAGGGUGCUUGUUUAUGAGCAUGACUGUCGAGGCCGAGGUGUUCUCUCCUGGAGAACCCCAGCAGCAUAACAGGCUAGGCUCCAAAGGUUUCUUCAGGUCAAAACUCCAUCCCGGCCCAAGCUUGCUGUGUGCCCUUGUCUAAAGCUUGUAGCCCAGCCCAGCAAUGAGUGAUUGUAGUUGGCAUUUUAUUUGGGUCACCAACCAGCUUCCAAAUAAAGACACAGAGACGACAA